Long non-coding RNA from Rhopalosiphum padi (bird cherry-oat aphid), 2212 nucleotides. RefSeq lists it as uncharacterized. The transcript is spliced from 3 exons. The record is from RefSeq and is a predicted model, not a curated record. NCBI's taxonomy places the organism in Eukaryota, Metazoa, Arthropoda, Insecta, Hemiptera, Aphididae.
AAAAGACCUGUUUUUCCAAAGAAACCAGGAAUUUCAAUACAAUUUGUCUGUCAGUUCGAUGUUAUUUUGGUAUGUGUAUCUAUUGAACGAUUUUCCAUAUUGUAAAUUUUAAAAAUACUCUGAAAAUAAACUACAUUCAGGGAAGACCACGAGAAGGUAAUACCAUCUGCUUUAGAUUAUAAUAUAUUAUAACUGUUGGGCUAAUUCGAUAGUCUUUCUAUUUUUGCAGCUAUACUUAUAAAUAUACCUACUAAAACAUUUGACAUUCGUGUAGCGAUCUAUAAUUAUUUUGAUGUGUUCAUCAUAUACCUACUGAUAACUAUGUACCUUCAUAUUUACGGUUAGAGGUGUUUACUAGUUUAAUUAUUGUAACGAUUACAAUAUAAAAAUCCCAUGUGUCUAAAACAAAAUAUAUAAUUAUCUAACAGUUGUACUGACAUCUGAUGAUAAUAUACUGUCUGUUUGCUUAGGUUAGUUAAAAAUAUUUAUCUGAAAUCGGAGUGUAUAUUAUAAAUUGUACUGAAGAGUCUAUUUUAUUCUAUUUUAGUAUAGAAAUGAGUUCAUUUGAAUUUUAUAAAAUGAUUUGACGAAAAAUCUACAGUAAAUUAUUUACAAAUUCACAAUUUACUGCCAGAUUAUAGUAUAAAACCAAAUUGUAAAAAUAUGAUUCUGAGAUUCUGACACAAAAGCUGUUAUCAGAAAAAAAAUGGAUUCUUGUAAACAAAGCGAGUACCAAAGUUUAAGGUGAUACAAAAAGGAUGCCAAACAUUCCAGUCUUUGUGUAAGUGCAAUUUAUUUUUUAUAAAUGUAUAAUACAUUAAUUCUAAAUUGUCACUUCAAUACAUUUUAGAUUUAAAUUAUUCUGAAUUUUUUAAGAUAAUAAUUUUCUAUAAUAUUGUAUAAGUCUUUUAUACUAACACAAUGUAAUUAAAAACUUUUAAUUUGCAUUUUUUUAAUUAACUUUUUUAUACAUAUUUAGAUUGUAUAAAUAUUUUUGUUCAAAAUCAUGUAUAUUUAUGAAAUGAAUCUGCAUAUUUUAUAGAUUUUUAUUGCAUUUAAAUAUAAGCCCUAAUAAUAAUAUUAAUGACUUAAAAGAUUUAUUAAAAAAAAAUAAUUGUUCGAACGCUGAACGAUUUGCCGCCAAUAAGCCUUGCUGGACACUAUAAAAGUGGCGGAUAUCUAAGUUCCUCGCAAGUUCCCGCCUCCGCUGUCUGAUGCUGUUGUUUUUUUUUUUUUGGCCUACAACUCCGGCUGUUCGCUCUCUAUUUUUUUAACAGUUGAUCUGAACGCAUCGUUGCGUUCCGUUUUCUGUCCCGUCUCCCGUGUGUGUCGCCGUGAAACAUUCGUGGCUAAUAUUUUGUUUUGCCAUGACUGUGACCAGCCGGCAAUCGCGCACAUACAAUCUUUUUAUUUUACAACCGUUUUGGCGGUUCUCGGUUAGCUCGGUUGUUACGUUCACCGUUUUACGCGUAAACCUCAUGUGAUCACAUUUAAAUUUGUUCUCCCGUGUUGCAACUGUCAUUCGAUCACCUUACCGAUCGAGAUCAAAAUUAAUACACAUCACCGAAGAUCAUCAUCAAGUUGCUGUCGCCGUUCCAACGCGAGACCACUGGUCGUCACUUAUAAGGUUGCAGCCCGUAGGGCCUUCCGGCCUUGUGCCACUGCACAGCUCGAACCGCCUUCAAGCCGGUGUGACACCGGCCCUAAGUGACAGACUCUAGCUGUUAUAAAUGACAGUCGUGUUGUGGCGGACAUCGGUUGCGGUGCAGACUCGAGUAAGUAGCGGUGGAACGGAUUUCCGCGACAUCAUGUAACGCAGUUCACAUUGCGACCGGUUGCAAAACGUGAUUGUAAAUAGUAGCGUUUCCGGGUACAUCGGUGUGCGUGUGUGCAGCUCAGUGACGCAACUAGAGUUCAAAUCUUGGAGUUGCUACAAUUAUGAAUUGCUAACAAAGUGGCUACAGGCUAUUUGACAUCGACUGGCAGAGCACCUAGGGGAACACGACGUAUCGGACACGAACUUAACGUACAAUAUACUUGGUGAAAUUCUAUCUAUUGUAUCAAUUGUUAUUUGUUUUUAAAUACAAUAAUAUAUCAACAAUUUUUUGAGAAAAAAUAAUUGCUUAAUAAUAUUAAUUAAACAAAUUAAUUUUAACUGUUUGAAAUUGCCUUUUCAGAAAAGAAAUAUAUUAUGUAAAUUAUUGAACUAUUA